CCGAGUUUACAACUCCCAAACCCCUGUGAACAUACCUAUACGUUGCCUCGGCGGAUCAGCCCGCGCCCGUAAAAAGGGACGGCCCGCCCGAGGACCCCUAAACUCUGUUUUUAGUGGAACUUCUGAGUAAAACAAACAAAUAAAUCA
Molecule: unclassified non-coding RNA, 147 nt
Filed under: soil metagenome
Description: partial internal transcribed spacer 1
Source: RNAcentral